RNAcentral lists this ribosomal RNA (564 nucleotides) under uncultured Glomeromycotina. Its description in RNAcentral is "SSU rRNA". It matches the Rfam family "Eukaryotic small subunit ribosomal RNA", at positions 548 to 1114 of the family's 1831-position model. The record is from RNAcentral. Lineage: Eukaryota; Fungi; Glomeromycota.
UUGGAGGGCAAGUCUGGUGCCAGCAGCCGCGGUAAUUCCAGCUCCAAUAGCGUAUAUUAAAGUUGUUGCAGUUAAAAAGCUCGUAGUUGAAUUUCGGGAUCAGAGUGUCGGUCGUGCCUCGGUACGCACUGGUAUUAUUGGUUCCUACCUUCUGAAGAACCGCGAUGUCAUUAAUUUGGUGUCGUGGGGAAUCAGGACUGUUACUUUGAAAAAAUUAGAGUGUUUAAAGCAGGCUUACGCUUGAAUACAUUAGCAUGGAAUAAUGAAAUAGGACGUUUGAUUCUAUUUUGUUGGUUUCUAGGAUUGACGUAAUGAUUAAUAGUGAUAGUUGGGGGCAUUAGUACUCAAUUGUCAGAGGUGAAAUUCUUGGAUUUAUUGAAGACUAACUACUGCGAAAGCAUUUGCCAAGGAUGUUUCCAUUAAUCAAGAACGAAAGUUAGGGGAUCGAAGACGAUCAGAUACCGUCGUAGUCUUAACCAUAAACUAUGCCGACUAGGAAUCAGACGAUGUUAAUUUUUUAGUGACUCGUUUGGCACCUUACGGGAAACCAAAGUGUUUGGGUUC